AGCCUAAUCCGGGUUAUUUGCUUUCCCAUGCUUGUGUCAGGUCCUGCUCUGAAUUGACUGUGGAAAAUACUCUCUAGUCUGCCGGCCGCUCCCUCUGUCCCUGAUUUAUCUGAAUAGGAUGUGGCCGAUGGGCGUAUAUAAAGCGGGCUGAAUGGCAAGGGCCGGAGGUAGAGAGGGACGAAAGCGGUGAAAGACCUCCGGAUGGCAGUCAGCGCUCCAGGGGGCCUCUCUGCCCAGAGAGACCCCACCAAAGGGCUUCAUUGUGGGUAGCAGCAGGCAGCCACUGAGGGCUGUAUGCUGGAAGUAUUGUGUUGCUGGAUAGACCCGAGUCCCUCUCCAGAACAGGGUCAAAGGUUAGCCCCCCUGUGGACUGCUCCAUACCUGCCCUGCCCUGUCUCCCCCUUCCACUCUCGCAGGCCCAGGGACACACAGUCACAUACAAUGGAAACCAAUCAACACGCUACUAAGGAGACUCUUAAGAUUGAGAGGUAGCAGAGCGGAGAGACUAAUUCAGUGCACUCUCCACUUUUCGAUGAAUAGGUAAUUCAAUUAAUGGGCCCAUGAGAGGGAAUAACGAGCAAGGCAGGUCAGAGGCUCCUCUCUGCAGUUUACAAGGCCACGUCUCAGCACUUCAGCAGGAUAAAAAUCUUAUCGCAGACUCAAAACAAAAACCUUUGAUGACAUCUCAGCUAUCGUCAUUGUUGAUGUGGGUGUGAGUCAUAAGGUGGCGUGUGUACGUGUGUGUGUGUGUGUGUGUACAGCUGACUGUGUGGCUCUGCAUGUGUGGAUAUGUAAGUAAGUCCGCUUUUGGACGCAACGGGAUGGUGAAAGAGCAUGUCAAACAUUUGGAUCUAUGCUGAGCCAGAUCCCGCCCCUAUCGCCUUAUCUUGACACCCCUGUGCAUGCAGGGAAUGCUUGCUCUCAUGCCUCCAUGCACCGUCAGCUCUUCAAACACGAACACGCAGCUCUGCUUAUUAGACAGCCCCUCUGCGUGCGGACUAACUGUGGAAUACAAAAUUGGACUCCCUGAAAAAUGUAAUUAAUCUUGCGUUGUCGUAUUCUUAAUGCAUGUCGGCCUUUUUUUUUUUGGAUGUCAUUGAUUUCUUUAACUGAUUGUAAAGCACUGUGUAUCACUGUUUUGGAAAGGUUAAUGGGAUUAGAAUAAUGAAAAUAAGGGGGAAAUACAUACAAUAUUAUUGUGAUUGUUGUCAGUGUUUGGUGAUUAAAUUUCAACUGUGGAUU
Thunnus maccoyii (southern bluefin tuna) is the source of this 1242-nucleotide long non-coding RNA. RefSeq lists it as uncharacterized. The transcript is spliced from 2 exons. The record is from RefSeq and is a predicted model, not a curated record. NCBI's taxonomy places the organism in Eukaryota, Metazoa, Chordata, Actinopteri, Scombriformes, Scombridae.